Molecule: ribosomal RNA, 281 nt
Filed under: uncultured bacterium
Lineage: Bacteria
Description: partial small subunit ribosomal RNA
Rfam family: Bacterial small subunit ribosomal RNA
Source: RNAcentral
AGGAUAAACGCUGGCGGCGUGCCUAACACAUGCAAGUCGAACGUCCUUGCGGUCUUCUUCUUCGGAGGAGGACCGCGAGGGAGUGGCGGACGGGUGAGUAACACAUGGGUACCUGCCUUUCAGUGAGGAAUACCGGCGAGAAAUCGCCGACAAGACCGCAUAGGCUUCCUUCGGUAGCCCGAGGGAAGCAAAGUUACUUCGCGAGAGGUGACGCUGGAAGAGGGGCCUGUGGCCGAUUAGCUAGUUGGGGGGUAACGCCUCCCAAGGCGACGAUCGGUAGC